This 549-nucleotide ribosomal RNA is filed under the name uncultured Eubacteriales bacterium. RNAcentral describes it as "bacterial SSU rRNA". It matches the Rfam family "Bacterial small subunit ribosomal RNA", at positions 231 to 797 of the family's 1533-position model. Lineage: Bacteria; Bacillati; Bacillota; Clostridia; Eubacteriales. The record is from RNAcentral.
CCGCGUCUGAUUAGGUAGUUGGUGGGGUAACGGCCUACCAAGCCAACGAUCAGUAGCCGACCUGAGAGGGUGACCGGCCACAUUGGGACUGAGACACGGCCCAAACUCCUACGGGAGGCAGCAGUGGGGAAUAUUGCACAAUGGGGGAAACCCUGAUGCAGCGACGCCGCGUGGAGGAAGAAGGUCUUCGGAUUGUAAACUCCUGUCGUUGGGGACGAUAAUGACGGUACCCAACAAGAAAGCCACGGCUAACUACGUGCCAGCAGCCGCGGUAAAACGUAGGUGGCAAGCGUUGUCCGGAAUUACUGGGUGUAAAGGGAGCGCAGGCGGAAGGACAAGUUGGAAGUGAAACCCACGGGCUCAACCCGUGAACUGCUUUCAAAACUGUUUUUCUUGAGUGGUGUAGAGGUAGGCGGAAUUCCCGGUGUAGCGGUGGAAUGCAUAGAUAUCGGGAGGAACACCAGUGGCGAAGGCGGCCUACUGGGCACUAACUGACGCUGAGGCUCGAAAGCAUGGGUAGCAAACAGGAUUAGAUACCCUGGUAGUCCA